RNAcentral lists this small nucleolar RNA (184 nucleotides) under Apis dorsata (giant honeybee). Its description in RNAcentral is "small nucleolar RNA U3". It matches the Rfam family "Small nucleolar RNA U3", at positions 32 to 219 of the family's 219-position model. Rfam says of the family: Small nucleolar RNAs (snoRNAs) are involved in the processing and modification of rRNA in the nucleolus. There are two main classes of snoRNAs: the box C/D class, and the box H/ACA class. U3 snoRNA is a member of the box C/D class. Lineage: Eukaryota; Metazoa; Arthropoda; Insecta; Hymenoptera; Apidae. The record is from RNAcentral.
UAGAUCUUCUCAAAGCUCUGCCCUAACGUAGAGUUGAUGCAGCCACGAUGAGGAGGCAUAGCACCUCUCCCUGAGCGUGAGGAAAACUCGAGAAAUCGACUUUGCUUCGAUUUCUCAGUUAUCGAUGAUCGUUCAUCCCUUGUACUUAGUACGAGGGGGAUGGGAGAGGGGCUUUCUGAGUGGU